Molecule: long non-coding RNA, 255 nt
Filed under: Olea europaea (common olive)
Lineage: Eukaryota; Viridiplantae; Streptophyta; Magnoliopsida; Lamiales; Oleaceae
Description: long non-coding RNA (OEUR_LNC005774)
Source: RNAcentral
AAAAAUCUAGGUAAUUUUGUGCAUAGUCUCCUAAAUAUGGUAAGAAAUCAAUUAAAUAUAGAAUUCUAGCAAAACUAGGAAAAUUGUAAAAAAAAUAAAAAAAUGCGUCUGAAAAUAACCAUGCGGUUGCAUGGUUCAAUUCCAUGCGGCCGCAUGGAAUUGAAGUUUAGCCCCCUUCAACUCUCGACCUAGGUCUGUGUGACCAUAGACCAUUUGUGCUGUGCAGUCGCACAACUUUAACUCUCCACUCUUUCU